Molecule: long non-coding RNA, 1102 nt
Organism: Osmerus eperlanus (European smelt)
Lineage: Eukaryota; Metazoa; Chordata; Actinopteri; Osmeriformes; Osmeridae
Exons: 3
Source: RefSeq, a predicted model, not a curated record
CAGGGCUGGAGAACAGUCUUUAGGAAGUUGCAGUAGGUCAUACGCGAUCAGAACAUGGAACCAAGCAAAAGAAUGAAGAUCGGUGAAGCGACUCCAGAGGAGAUCGAAGGAUUCCUUCAUUCGGUCUCCACUUAAAACCUCCGCUCGAAACACGAAGUACUUUAACGUGGUUUUUCAGAGUGGAAGGGAGGAAUACCACAAUAUUGUGGUGUUUUCGCCGGAGAAGCACGACGCGUUCAGUCAAGCGGUCAAAAAUGGCCAUGCAAUCAGGCUGUGCAAUGUUAAGAAGGCGCUGAGUUUCAAUAGCACGGCAGCGUUUGAUGUACAGUGCAACAGGAACACUGAAAUACGGGUGACCGAAGUUCCGUUCCCAUCCAGAAAGCCAGCAGAACUGCUGCCCUUGAAUGUGGUGAAGGUGAAGGCUUUGGGCCCGCGACAGCAUGUUGGUGUGUUGGAGGCCAAGGUCAUCUCCUUGAAGAUUGGCACAGAAAUGGUUUCUGUACGCAACUCUCAAGCAGAGGUGAAGGAGUGAAGUGGGUGAUGCCACAGGAAGCAUUCCGCUUAAAUUGUGGGACAGUCAAAUUUCGUCUGUGCAGGAGGGCUUGUCCUAUAAGUUCACUAAUCUGUCGACACGGCAGUUUUUGGGAUCCGUCUUUCUGACUACCACGAGAGCUAGUGCAAUUGACAAAAUGGAUGACAUCAGUGGAGUUGUAGCCAAGGAAGAUGGAGAGGGAAGUGCACGUGAGAAUGUGACUAAAUUCUUCAGUGAUGUUGAAGGGGCUCAUAUUGAAGCAAAGCGGCAGUGUCCGAAGUGUUAUACACAGCAGUUGACUUUUGAUAUAAAAGUUCCUUACCAUAGAUGUGAGAAAUGCAAGAUUCUGCGCAGGGGUGGGAGUUAUGUCUCAAAGCUUAGUGGGGAGUUGGUGUUUUGCACUGACAAGGGGGAGCACAGCUUGACCAUUCCAAAUUCCGUUUUAAGAGUUUACUUGGACAGUGAAGGCUCUUGCACUGACAUUUUGGAUGUGCAGGACAUUGAGCAACACUUCAUCAGUGGUGGCUGUUAUGAAGUCGAGCACAACAGGGCAGAUGUUGUAACAAGUAU